This is a long non-coding RNA of Prionailurus viverrinus (fishing cat), 542 nucleotides long. RefSeq lists it as uncharacterized. The transcript has 3 exons. The record is from RefSeq and is a predicted model, not a curated record. Lineage: Eukaryota; Metazoa; Chordata; Mammalia; Carnivora; Felidae.
UGCUCUGCCGAAGUCCCCGAUUCACAAAAAUAAAAGCGGAUAUUGUUUCUCCCACGUUCUCCUAAACCCACCUUUGAAUCUCAUCUCCCCUCAAUCUUUCCUCCCGCACCCUUGCCUUCCAGAGUCUCCUUGCUGUUGGAAUCCUCUAAGAAAAUCUCUUUUUAUAUUCCUUGGUCGACAGGAGCAAAAUGCAGGGAAUUGAUGUGAGAACUGUCAUCGCAAUGUAAUUCUGGUCCAAUUUCACUUUCUAAAGAAGUUUCGAUGGAUUUCCAGUGAGUAUCCAGCUGACUGUAUAUUGGAUGAGGAAGGAAUCAUGUGCCUUUAUCACGGUGAUCUCAGUGCCUAGAAGGGUUGCGGACAAGGUCUCUCCUUAUCUGCUGCUGAGAAAUGAUUUUGUUGACUCGUGGCCAUAACCACGUUUCUCUCUCCCUGGGAAAGCUUAAAACCGAAUUCAAGGAACGCAAAGCUGGAAAAAGACGUAAUGCAUCACAAUCCAGAUGAAAAACUAAUAACCCGUGAAUAGUGUGACGAUGACAUCUCCC